RNAcentral lists this ribosomal RNA (452 nucleotides) under uncultured Sphingomonas sp. RNAcentral's name for it is "partial 16S ribosomal RNA". Lineage: Bacteria; Pseudomonadati; Pseudomonadota; Alphaproteobacteria; Sphingomonadales; Sphingomonadaceae. The record is from RNAcentral.
CACGGAGUUAGCCGGGGCUUAUUCUCCCGGUACAGUCAUUAUCUUCCCGGGUAAAGAGCUUUACAACCCUAGGGCCUUCAUCACUCACGCGGCAUUGCUGGAUCAGGCUUUCGCCCAUUGUCCAAUAUUCCCCACUGCUGCCUCCCGUAGGAGUCUGGGCCGUGUCUCAGUCCCAGUGUGGCUGAUCAUCCUCUCAGACCAGCUAUGGAUCGUCGGCUUGGUAGGCCUUUACCCCACCAACUACCUAAUCCAACGCGGGCUCAUCCUCAGGCAAUAAAUCUUUGGACUUUCGUCAUCAUCCGGUAUUAGCAGCCGUUUCCAGCUGUUAUUCCGAACCUAAGGGCAGAUUCCCACGCGUUACGCACCCGUGCGCCACUAAGGCCGAAGCCUUCGUUCGACUUGCAUGUGUUAGGCAUGCCGCCAGCGUUCGUUCUGAGCCAGGAUCAAACUCU